UAUAAAGUUAGAAUUAUGAGAUAUUAUAAAGUCAUAAUUGGGAGAUAUAAAGUAAGAAUUAUAUAUUAUAAAGUCAGAAUUAUGAGAUAUUAUAAAGUCAUAAUUAUGAGAUAUUAUAAAGUCAUAAUUAUGAGAAAUUAUAAAGUCAGAAUUAUGAGAUGUUAUAAAGUCAUAAUUGUGAGAUAUUAUAAAGUCAGAAUUGUGAGAUAUUAUAAAGUCAGAAUUAUGAGAUAUUAUAAAUCAGAAUUGUGAGAUAUAAACUUGCAAUUGUGAGGGGAAAAAAGUCAGAAUUAACAUAAAUAAAGUUGUCUCUGUUGUCAAAAUGACCUACAAACACUAGGUUUGGCUUUUCAUUUUGGACUCAAUUUAAUUAAUUUCUUUAA
Long non-coding RNA from Cyprinus carpio carpio, 383 nucleotides. NCBI's taxonomy places the organism in Eukaryota, Metazoa, Chordata, Actinopteri, Cypriniformes, Cyprinidae. The record is from Ensembl.